This 474-nucleotide ribosomal RNA is filed under the name uncultured Sphingomonadaceae bacterium. RNAcentral's name for it is "bacterial SSU rRNA". It matches the Rfam family "Bacterial small subunit ribosomal RNA", at positions 408 to 873 of the family's 1533-position model. Lineage: Bacteria; Pseudomonadati; Pseudomonadota; Alphaproteobacteria; Sphingomonadales; Sphingomonadaceae. The record is from RNAcentral.
AUGAAGGCUUAGGGUUGUAAAGAUCUUUUACCAGGGAUGAUAAUGACAGUACCUGGAGAAUAAGCUCCGGCUAACUSCGUGCCAGCAGCCGCGGUAAUACGGAGGGAGCUAGCGUUGUUCGGAAUUACCGGGCGUAAAGCGCACGUAGGCGGUACAUCAAGUCAGGGGUGAAAGCCSGAGCUCAACUCCGGAACUGCCCUUUUAGACUGCAUCGUUGAAUCCAGGAGAGGUGAGUGGAAUUCCGAGUGUAGAGGUGAAAUUCGUAGAUAUUCGGAAGAACACCAGUGGCGAAGGCGGCUCACUGGACUGGUAUUKACGCUGAGGUGCGAAAGGUGGGGAGCAAACAGGAUUAGAUACCCUGGUAGUSCACGACSUAAACGAUGAUAACUAGGUGUAGGGGUUAUUAGAAAUUYGGUGGSSGAGUAAACGGAUUAAGUUAUGCCSGUGGGGAGUAAGGAGCCAAGGUUAAAAAUG